Molecule: long non-coding RNA, 4937 nt
Organism: Eleginops maclovinus (Patagonian blennie)
Lineage: Eukaryota; Metazoa; Chordata; Actinopteri; Perciformes; Eleginopidae
Exons: 2
Source: RefSeq, a predicted model, not a curated record
UUUUACUCAAGUACAAGAUCUGAGUACUUCUACUUUUACUGAGUACAAUAUCUGAGUACUUCUACUUUACUCAAGUACGAGAUCUGAGUACUUCUACUUUACUCAAGUACAAGAUCUGAGUACUUCUACUUUUACUGAGUACAUGACCUGAGUACUUCUCCCAGCUUUGGUUUGAAUAAAAACACAAUAAAGAUGUUUUCAAAUACUUUAAUUUUUUACAUCUUUUGGUUUGUAUUUUACAUCCUGUCCGUGUUGCUGUCACUAACGGAGACUGGGCUUUCUAAAGAUCUGCUUUUAAACACGGAGUUUUAACUAUUUACAUGAUGACAUCACUGUGCCGUUUGAGCUGCUCUACUUGACUCUGUAGAGGACCUUCCUCUGCAUGCGGUGCUGCAGCUCGCCGCGCCGCAGCAUCAGGUGCAACACUUUGUAGAUGGCGUGCUCCGGGUAUUUCUGCGGCGGGAAAAAACGGGAGAGUGAGGAAAGAGAGAUGAGUGAGUGAAAUAUCCAAAUUUAAAAACUGCCGACCCUUUCAGUGAACAAGAAAAAGGCCUUUUCCUUUUUAAAUGUAGAUUAUUUUCUGUCCUAUUCAGAGGUUAACUCAAAAUGUUAUUCAUCCCAGGGGACAAUGUUGCUAAAUAUUUUGAAAUUUGAAUAAAGUUAUUUAAAUAAAACAUCUGAAAAAGUAAAAAUUGCAAUAAACUGAAAAUAUUCAAUAAAAAGAUUAAAUUAAAAUAAGGACAAAUAUAUUUAUACAAUCAUUAAAAAUAUAAAGAAUAAAGAAAGUUAAACACAUUAAACCAUUUCUAAAUGAAAUACUUGUAUUACUAUGGGCAGCAUCCUCUUUAUAAAACCCUCUCUGACCUGUUUGGUGAAGUCCUGCACGAUGCUGUGCUCCGAGACCUGAGAGCCGAUAGCGAAGCGUCUCUUCAGCUGCUUCUCCACCCGGGAGAUCAUCUCCUGGUCCUCCGUCGACGUGAAGCCCUCCACUCCUGCAGGCAGGAAGUGAAGACACGUUACAGACGGAUCACAUUUUAUCCACCAGACUAUCUGCACUGUAUCUGUGUAUAUUUAGCAUCUUGUUGACAACAAUCCUAUACAUCUCAAUACUCUGAUUUUAUAAUAACCACACACACACACACACACACACACACCUGAGAGGCUGCCGGACAUGGCGGCGUCCAGCGUGGACACCUGGAAGAGCCUCAGAGCUUCGUCCACUUCUUCCUCUCCGGCCACCGCCUGCAGCUUCAUCUUCGCCAGAGACUCGGCGAUGCGCACCACGGCCUCCAGCUGCCUGCAGAGGACAGACAGGGGGUCAGUUUAACGCUGGGGGGGCAGCAGGUGGAGGAAAGGUGGAUGUUAUUCCUGCUGAACGUACCUGACGGUGAUGGGGAUGGAGGGCCGUUUGUCCGUCUCCCUCUCGUGCUCGCGGGCGCCGCUCCUCAUCACCACGUAGCGGUUCUUCAGCUUCUCGGCAGCGGCGGCCGAGAGGCGGGGUCCGCAUUUACUGAGAGGGACGACAGAAAGUAUUAGCACCGUGGCACAGAAUUACAAAGAGAUGUAACGGCUUCAAAAUAAAUCAAAUAUAGAAAACCACAUGAACAGAAACAGAGGCUGACAUCCAUAAAUGCAAUCCACCCACUAAAUGUUUAAAACAUCAUUCUUAUAUUUUCUUAAUUCAAAAUAAAGACUUCAGCCUUUUCAUUUUGCUGCCAAAAAUAAGUCUGACUUGCAGCUGCGAGAGACUCACGUUCUGGCGUAGGCGAUGUACUUCUUGAACGUGGCCAGAGGAAUCUCCCCCUCCACUCCCUCCGUCUGAGUCUGAGCGCUGAGGUGGACGUUCAUCACGUGACGCGCCAGGGUCUAAAGACAGACCGGAGUUAAUACACAUCACUGAAGUAAAGCUUCCUGUGAGGACAGCGAGCGCCCCGUUCCCCCCCCCCCUCACCAUGUCCUUCUGUUGGUCGUGGUGGUCUUUGAUGAUGAAGAUCAUGUCGAAGCGGGACAGGAUGGUGGGCAUGAAGUCGAUGUUGUCUUCGCCCUUCGUGUCGUCCCAGCGUCCGAACACCGAGUUAGCGGCGGCCAGGACGGAGCAGCGGGAGUUCAGGGUGGUGGUGAUGCCGGCCUGUGGGGAGGGGGGGGGAACACAGUGAUAUUAGCCUUUGCAGACCAUUUACAUGCACACAAACCUAGAGACCAUACCACAGAAAUCUAUCAAUCAUCAAAAACCCUAAACAGUCCCACGAGAAGAAUUAAAACACAGCUGUAAUUAAUUACCUUGGCGAUGGAGAUGGUCUGCUGCUCCAUGGCUUCAUGAAUGGCCACUCUGUCAUCCUCUCUCAUCUGAACAACAACAAAAACUCACUUUAAUCCUGAAACACAAACCAAUCAAACAUCCUCCGUCUAUAAAGAGGUGCAGGAAUGACUCCGAAAACCAGGCGGUGGAGACAUGAAGUCAUGUGACCGUGCGUCCAAUGGAAAAAUCCCAUUGGCCUCUUCUGUAGGGAACCAGGGAGAUGCUGCCUUCAGGGUCCACCUCUAGUAAUAAGUCAUCCCUGCUCCACUGUAUAACACCAACUUAUUUCCUUACCUUGUCGAACUCGUCGAUGCACACCACUCCUCCGUCAGCCAGCACCAUGGCCCCCCCCUCCAUGAUGAAGCCCCGGGUGUGUGGGUCCCUCAGAACAGAGGCGGUGAGACCGGCGGCGCUGCUGCCUUUCCCUGAGGUGUACACCUGGAGAGAAACGAUUCAGCAUCAGAGUGGACUCACAACGAACACAAGGGUCUACAGAGGGGUCAACGGGAGGGGGGGUAGUUACCCCGAUGGGGGAGCAUCUCUCCACGAACUUGAGCAGCUGAGACUUGGCUGUGCCGGGGUCUCCCAGCAUCAGCAGGUUGAUGUCACCACGACGGGUCAGACCAUCAGGCAGCCUGAGGUGGGAAGAGGGGGGGGAAAGCAUUACUUAACAGGCAGUUAUUCAUGUAUUAAUAUCAUUUGUAUUCCAUUGUAGAGGGUAUGACAGAAAACCCUGAGACCCCUCACCUCUUCCUGGAGCCCCCAAACAGCAGACAGGUGAUGGCCUUCUUCAGGUCCUCGCUGCCGUAGAUGGAGGGAGCGACGGAGCGAGCCAGGGCGCCGUAAACGUUGGGAGACGCAGCGAGUCCUCGGAGCUCCUCCUCCUCCUGAGGGGUGACCGAACAGUUGGCUCCACGACCUGAGAGGAAAACACACCCGUCACGAUCUGACCUCCGACCUCCUGACAGAGGACUUUAACUUCAGUAACACAUGGCGUCUUUAUUCCAGCGUCUCCUCACCGGCCCCCUCCGUGUCCACCUGGAUGCCGACCACCCUCAGGUACGACGCUCUGAUCCCGACUCCAGCGCUCUUCUCGUUUCCUCGAGCCUUCACCGCCGCCAUCUUCUUGAUCGAGUAAAUACCGACGAUGGUCACCCUGUUGCCGGGGACGACGCGGUCACACAGUAGAGCUGCAUGUGGCGCGGCAUCUCUCCGUGAGGAACAGCGUCCGGAGCUUCCUGCAAGCGGAGCGUCUGGAAGUCGACGCAGACGCAGCGGUCGGGGAUGAUGAAGUACGGAUCGAUGGGACACUUCACCCUGCCGGCGGCCUCACUGCGGAGAGGAAACACGGAGGGGAAGAUUCAACAUGCGGCACAAACACCUGCAUCUCUGAAAGGCCUAAAACACAACAGCUGCUCUUCCAGGACGCAUUCCCGCACCACUCACGUGUUGCACUUGCGCGGCAGAGCGUAUCCCUGCAGGCCCGGCGGCAGCGGGAUGUUGCUGAUGACGGAGCGACAGCCGCGACACUGCAGACACACUUUGGUGGCCUUCGCUCUCACCGGCGUUGCCGAGAUGAUGAUGCCGCUCACCUUCACCAGGCGGGACACCUGCUCCGACUGCAGGGGGAGACAGGAAGUGAGGAGAGGAGGUGAGCACAUGGUCGAGGAGGACUCCGAGGAUGAGUAAGACGCUCUGAGAGGCAUUCGGGUACCUUGAGGCCGCGGAUGGAGGCGUGGUGAGCGUCGCUCCGCAGCGUCACCUGGAUGUCCUGCACCGUCUCCUCCCCCACCGGCCGGGGGCGGGUCACCUCGUCAGCCACCUCCUUCGCCGCUUCCUCCAGCUGAAACACACCAAGACGUUAGAGGUCACAAACUCUAUAUGUUCAUGACACUGCAUUUUUUUAUUAUUAAUAUCAAAGUCAAAUCUAUGAUAUCCAGCAGAUCAAGUGUUGGGAUGUUGGCAAUCAACCAGAACCAGACACUGAAUGUUUUUGUGGAGUGAGGGAAUCUUUAAGUAAAUAUUACUUCAGUGUCAGACUCACCAUCGGCAGGUUCUCAGAGGGGACUUUGUACAGACAGUCGGACAGGUCCUCGUCGAAGCUGGCCAGAUCCUCCAUCUCCACAUCCAGCCAGAACUCUCCGAGGGUGUAGUGCCUCUUCAGCUCAUCUCUGAACAAAAACACAGACAAAUAAGAAUCAUUAGUGGUGAAGAUCUAAUGCUCACAUAUCCCCAAAACAAGAGAACAGCAGUCUCAAAACCCUGAAGGGAGCUUAUUUUAAAUACUUUGUAGAGUACUAGGUAGUCAAGUAGCAAAGUACUGCAUCAUGUGCCUUUCAUCAACUCAAAGACACAUUCAGAUAUAUGAUAAGAUGCAUAAAUAUACAACCAAGUACCUUAAACUCUCUUUUGAUUAACAAAUUACAACAUGUAAAUUCUGUUAUACGAGUCUUUUAGUGACACCACCGAAUUGUAGAGCUAUUUGCAUACUGUGUACACUUUGAUCAUAAUCCACGACUUCUACUUGUAUUUCAAUAUGUUUAUACUACAGUAUUUGUACUUUUACUUGGGUAAAGGAUCAAAAAUGGUCUGCCUCUGAUAGCAUAACUGCAUCAUAUUAAUAAAGAUAUUAGUCUGA